This 498-nucleotide ribosomal RNA is filed under the name uncultured bacterium. Its description in RNAcentral is "bacterial SSU rRNA". It matches the Rfam family "Bacterial small subunit ribosomal RNA", at positions 30 to 525 of the family's 1533-position model. The record is from RNAcentral.
AUUGAACGCUGGCGGAAUGCUUUACACAUGCAAGUCGAACGGCAGCACGGGGCAACCUGGUGGCGAGUGGCGAACGGGUGAGUAAUACAUCGGAACGUGCCCAAUCGUGGGGGAUAACGUAGCGAAAGUUACGCUAAUACCGCAUACGAUCUACGGAUGAAAGCGGGGGAUCGCAAGACCUCGCGCGAAUGGAGCGGCCGAUGUCAGAUUAGGUAGUUGGUGGGGUAAAGGCUCACCAAGCCAACGAUCUGUAGCUGGUCUGAGAGGACGACCAGCCACACUGGAACUGAGACACGGUCCAGACUCCUACGGGAGGCAGCAGUGGGGAAUUUUGGACAAUGGGCGCAAGCCUGAUCCAGCCAUUCCGCGUGCAGGAUGAAGGCCUUCGGUUGUAAACUGCUUUGUACGGAACGAAACGGUCUGCCUAAUACGGCGGCGUAAUGACGGUACCGUAAGAAUAAGACACCGGCUAACUACGUGCCAGCAGCCGCGGUAACU